GCGAAUUCGCGCUUUAACCGAACGGCUGGCGCGUAUCCAAACGCAAAACGCGAAAUUUCGCGGUAAUUUGCCGAGGAUUUUCUAUCGGCCGUCUUCAACGACCCCUCUCCACGCCUGGAUCUCGUCUGUUGCGCCGCGAUUCAAUUAAUUGCGACGGUACUACCUACGUAACACCCUUGAAACCUUUGGAAAUCAGCGUGCCGUGUUUACGAAAGAGUCGAACCACAGAGAAGCGCGAAAUUAAAUAAUUACGCCACCUUUCGAUACGGGAUAAUUAAUUGUUUCACGUUCGAGUCGAGUAAACUGGCAUUUUGGUUGCGAGGAAAGGAACUCGGGUGGCUGCCAAACGAUAACGAUCGGCACUGUGGAAACGUUCCCUACGUAAAAAUGAGCAGCGCGAGCUUAAAAAUUAUUUACCAGCGAAUCGCUUAAUCGUCGC
RNAcentral lists this unclassified non-coding RNA (439 nucleotides) under Bombus terrestris (buff-tailed bumblebee). RNAcentral describes it as "misc RNA ENSBTSG00005032947.1". Lineage: Eukaryota; Metazoa; Arthropoda; Insecta; Hymenoptera; Apidae. The record is from RNAcentral.